Long non-coding RNA from Rhincodon typus (whale shark), 939 nucleotides. RefSeq lists it as uncharacterized. NCBI's taxonomy places the organism in Eukaryota, Metazoa, Chordata, Chondrichthyes, Orectolobiformes, Rhincodontidae. The transcript is spliced from 4 exons. The record is from RefSeq and is a predicted model, not a curated record.
GGAAGCGGUGGUGCGGCGCGGCCCCAGAGUUGAUUUUGAAGGAUGAUAGCGACGAGGUUGAAAAGUGAGCGACAGAAAGAGAAAAUUCCGAGGAUGAUCCGGAUGGAGACAAUGAGUGACAGAGCAGAUGGCACAGGAAGAGGAAACGGCCAUGCACAUGGGCCCAGAGGAGGGCCCUGCAUUCUGACUCUGAGCAGAAUGAAAACCUGAAUCUGACUGUCUCAUAAGAACCACUCACCCUCUCCACCCUUCUCAGCCAGCACACCUUCCUGACAGACCAGCCGAGCUGGCAUUGCUAUAAGAUUGCUUUGUGAUGUCUGAAUAUCCUGCACAGCUCACCGAUCAUCAGGAAAAGAUCUGCUUACGUGUACAUGGAGUGAGAGAAACCCUUUCCAGGUCAUCAUCAUAAAGAUGAGUGCAAAAGGAGGGGCUGGGAUCAGACCAGGAGUACACCGCACUGUAUAGGCAAAGGCCCUAACAGCAGGGGAGCAUUGUCAAUUAUAGUUUCUGUCUAACAGCCACUUGGAAAGAGUGAUCAUAACGUUGAACUGGAUAUUUUUGCAGGAUGGAUAGCUGGAAUUGGGAACAAGCAUAUUGUACUGGACAAGGGCCAAUUGUCAAAUAUAAAGCUUUUAAUCAGAUUCCAAUUCAUAACUCACCCCUGAGCCCCUCAGUUAAAUUCCAGUCUGUAACACACUCGCCAGUGAAUGUUGUUUUGGACACAGAUCACAGAACAGUACAGCACAGGAACUGGCCCUUUGGCCCACCACAUUUGUGCCUAGCAUAAUGCUAUUUUAAACUAAUCCUAUCUGCCUACACAUGGUCCGUAUCCCUCUAUUCCCUGCCUGUUCAAGUGUCUGUCUAAAUUCCUCUUAAGCAUUGUGAUUGUAUCGGCUUUUCCCACCUCCCCGGUUGCAGGUUUCAGCACCAACCACCCUC